CGGCGAACGGGUGAGUAACACGUGGGUGAUCUGCCCUGCACUUCGGGAUAAGCCUGGGAAACUGGGUCUAAUACCGGAUAUGACCUCCUGUUGCAUGACUUGGGGUGGAAAGAUUUAUCGGUGCAGGAUGGGCCCGCGGCCUAUCAGCUUGUUGGUGGGGUAAUGGCCUACCAAGGCGACGACGGGUAGCCGACCUGAGAGGGUGACCGGCCACACUGGGACUGAGACACGGCCCAGACUCCUACGGGAGGCAGCAGUGGGGAAUAUUGCACAAUGGGCGAAAGCCUGAUGCAGCGACGCCGCGUGAGGGAUGACGGCCUUCGGGUUGUAAACCUCUUUCAGCAGGGACGAAGCGCAAGUGACGGUACCUGCAGAAGAAGCACCGGCUAACUCCGUGCCAGCAGC
This 405-nucleotide ribosomal RNA is filed under the name Rhodococcus erythropolis. RNAcentral's name for it is "bacterial SSU rRNA". It matches the Rfam family "Bacterial small subunit ribosomal RNA", at positions 96 to 515 of the family's 1533-position model. The record is from RNAcentral. Lineage: Bacteria; Bacillati; Actinomycetota; Actinomycetes; Mycobacteriales; Nocardiaceae.